CCUACGUGAGGCAGCAGUGGGGAAUAUUGCGUAAUGGGCGAAAGCCUGACGCAGCGACGCCGCGUGAGGGAUGAAGGUCUUCGGAUCGUAAACCUCUGUCAGCAGGGAAGAACGGUCACUGUGCUAAUCAGCAGUGAAUUGACGGUACCUGCAAAGGAAGCACCGGCUAACUCCGUGCCAGCAGCCGCGGUAAUACGGAGGGUGCGAGCGUUAAUCGGAAUUACUGGGCGUAAAGCGCUCGUAGGCGGUAUGUCAAGUCAAGGGUGAAAUCCCCGCGCUCAACGUGGGAACUGCCUUUGAAACUGGCAAACUGGAGUGUGUGAGAGGAAAGUGGAAUUUCAGGUGUAGGAGUGAAAUCCGUAGAUAUCUGGAGGAACAUCAGUGGCGAAGGCGACUAUCUGGCACAUAACUGACGCUGAGGAGCGAAAGCGUGGGUAGCAAACAGGAUUAGAUACCCGGGUAGUC
Molecule: ribosomal RNA, 465 nt
Filed under: uncultured bacterium
Lineage: Bacteria
Description: partial 16S ribosomal RNA
Rfam family: Bacterial small subunit ribosomal RNA
Source: RNAcentral